Molecule: transfer RNA, 81 nt
Filed under: Bacteroidaceae bacterium
Lineage: Bacteria; Pseudomonadati; Bacteroidota; Bacteroidia; Bacteroidales; Bacteroidaceae
Also listed under: 1 other name
Description: tRNA-Leu
Rfam family: tRNA
About the family: Transfer RNA (tRNA) molecules are approximately 80 nucleotides in length. Their secondary structure includes four short double-helical elements and three loops (D, anti-codon, and T loops).
Source: RNAcentral
GCGGGCGUGGCGGAAUUGGUAGACGCGCUAGACUUAGGAUCUAGUAUCGAAGAUGUGUAGGUUCGAGUCCUAUCGCCCGUA